This 374-nucleotide ribosomal RNA is filed under the name uncultured prokaryote. RNAcentral describes it as "bacterial SSU rRNA". It matches the Rfam family "Bacterial small subunit ribosomal RNA", at positions 524 to 896 of the family's 1533-position model. The record is from RNAcentral.
UACAGAGGGUGCAAGCGUUAUUCGGAAUUACUGGGCAUAAAGAGCGCGUAGGCGGUCUAAUAAGUCUGAUGUGAAAGCCCUGGACUCAAUCCAGGAAGUGCAUCGGAUACUGUUAGACUCGAGUAAAGGAGAGGACAGCGGAAUUCCUGGUGUAGAGGUGAAAUUCGUAGAUAUCAGGAGGAACAACAGUGGCGAAGGCGGCUGUCUGGACUUUCACUGACGCUGAGGCGCGAAAGCGUGGGGAGCAAACAGGAUUAGAUACCCUGGUAGUCCACGCCGUAAACUAUGGAUGCUAGAUGUCGGAAGUUCUUACCCUUUCGGUGUCGUCGCAAAUGCAUUAAGCAUCCCGCCUGGGAAGUACGGUCGCAAGAUUA